This 73-nucleotide transfer RNA is filed under the name Trichonephila clavata. It matches the Rfam family "tRNA". Rfam says of the family: Transfer RNA (tRNA) molecules are approximately 80 nucleotides in length. Lineage: Eukaryota; Metazoa; Arthropoda; Arachnida; Araneae; Nephilidae. The record is from Rfam by way of RNAcentral.
GUCCCUGUAGCGCAAUGAUUAGCGCAUUGGGCUUCUAACCCAAAGGUCGUGGCUUAGAAUCCCACCUGGGAUG